GGUGGAGCGAUUUGUCUGGUUAAUUCCGAUAACGAACGAGACUCUAGCCUACUAAAUAGUGGCUGAAUCUUCUCAGUUCAGCGUACUUCUUAGAGGGACAAGGGGUAUCUAGCCCCACGAGAUUGAGCAAUAACAGGUCUGUGAUGCCCUUAGAUGUCCGGGGCUGCACGCGCGCUACACUGAAGGAGUCAGCAUGCGGUUUUCCUGGUCCGAAAGGAUUGGGUAACCCUGUGAAACUCUUUCGUGAUUGGGAUAGGGAAUUGUAAUUAUUUUCCUUGAACGAGGAAUUCCUAGUAAGCGCGGGUCAUCAUCUCGCGUUGAAUACGUCCCUGCCCUUUGUAC
Molecule: ribosomal RNA, 342 nt
Filed under: Nematoda environmental sample
Lineage: Eukaryota; Metazoa; Nematoda
Description: bacterial SSU rRNA
Rfam family: Eukaryotic small subunit ribosomal RNA
Source: RNAcentral